AUGUUACGAUCGAUCGUACUGUAGAGGCAAUUGACUGAGGUGGCUGACCG
Molecule: transfer RNA, 50 nt
Filed under: Navicula sp. RCC3092
Lineage: Eukaryota; Bacillariophyta; Bacillariophyceae; Naviculales; Naviculaceae
Description: partial tRNA
Source: RNAcentral